Molecule: long non-coding RNA, 2438 nt
Filed under: Mus musculus (house mouse)
Lineage: Eukaryota; Metazoa; Chordata; Mammalia; Rodentia; Muridae
Description: long non-coding RNA chr10:90366850-90369288
Source: RNAcentral
GAGGGGUCUGCAGUGGGACUGGACAUGAACCCAGGAAUGACUCUAUCUUAAGACCAUGGAAAUAAGCACUGGGGCUGUGCACCUCCAAAUAUUGUCUAUCAGUAUGAUUUCCUGGAGGAGACACUUGGCGUGAAGGACCGUACCUAUAUAUACUUUGGUCUCCAUUCAAAACACUUGGAAUAAUCUUCAUUUGUUCAGUAAGUUAUAAACCUAUCCCACUCUUCCUUGAGGGUCAACAAUUCUGUUCCCUAAUCUCUGGAGUACUAUUGAGAUGGGACAUCAUUGCAUGUUUAUUCCCCAGGAGUGCCCUCUGCUCUUGCCCGUCAUGCAUCAUAUGAGCACUUCCUUGAGCAGAGAGCCCAUCUCCUUAGCUAUUUUAGUCCUUGAGGUAGCCUUAGUGGCUGUCAGUAUGUAUGCUUCUCCCCUUCACAGCCCCCCCCCAUUAUCAGGGAUUUCUUUUUAAUAUUGGUAAGUGUGGGAUUUAAGUGGUGGAAUUUUGGAUCUAUUUUGAAGGUGGAGAUAACAUAUUUUUGGUGUUUGAAUGCAAGAUUUGAUAAGAUGAAAAGAACAAAAGAUAAGAUUCAAGGACUUCAGAUCUUUUUAAACCACUGAAAGUUUGGAGUUGACCGUAGUUGGGAUGGGGAAAACUCAGUUUAGUCAUUUCAAUCUAAACUUGAGUAACAAAGAAGCUAAGUUGAAUAGAUUGUUAAGACAGUGGUUUGUCAGUGAGUUGAGGCAGUGUGAGAAACCAUGUAAUAAUUGUAUGCUCAUUAAAAAGCGAAAGGUAAAAAAGAUCAAAAGAUCAAGAAACAGCAGCCUAGUGUAUGAUGGUGGUUCCAAAGUUUGAGUUUCUCAGUAAGAAGGCACCAGAUAGGUGUGUUGUAGAUUCUGGGGAGGCAGGGAGACAAGAAGAACAAAUCGUGACAGAAUCUCCUUUCUUCUAGAAAACUGAAUCCAGAAAGCUCUUUCUAUAUAAAGCACUUCAUGAAUUAGCACCUUCACAGGAGCACCUGCCAGGCAAGUCAGACGUCCUGGGUAACUAAUUGCUUCCAGUUCUGUUGUAGUUUCAAACCAUCUACCUCCUGCUGGAGAAAGCUGACUGGAGAGAGGGGAUUUUUUUUUUUUUAAGUAAGGUAGAAAAGUGCCUCUUUCCAAAUGGAAGGAAAAACAAAACCAAAGUCAUUAGGUGCUCAGCAGCAUAGGAUGGCUUUCUGCAGAGAGGACACACUGGAGAAAUAAAAUCAGGUUGGAGAGGGUGGCAAGAGCUCUCCCACUGGUUAGGGACUAUCAGAGAGGCAGGCAAAGGCCUUCCUUCUAAUUAGUUCAUGGGAAUGUGAAAUAGAGCCCCCGAAGUCAAGACCUAGUUAUUACAGCUGCUUCUGGACGCAGCUUGUGGAGGGACACUUUGGCCCCAAGAUGACAAUGAAAUCAAAGACAACAGAGAAGAUCUUUAAGUUCCAAUCUAAGAUUCAGUGUGGAAGUUAAGAAUUUAUGAGAGUGAUGUAUAAUUUAUGUGUUUGGGACAUCCAAAAAAAUCCAGUAUAUUUUUAAUGCUUUAAUAAAUCUAUACAUAUAUAAAGUACUGUGAUCAUAAUUAUCCCAUUAUCUUCUGCUUUUAGCUCUUAUCUCUUUUUCAUUCUUGCCAAACUCUUCCCCCCCCCCCACCCCCCAGCCUCCUAUGUUUCAUUAGGGUCGCUUCCUAGGGUGUGAGUGGUAGUAUUUACUUGAGUCAGGACAACUUAGCAGUGGCUAUAUAACUGAAACAUGUGACUCUUCCUCCCCCAGCCACUUAGGGAUAGAUGAGACCCCAUGAGCAUUCCUCACAACUGCCAUCUGUGGUGGACUAUUGAUGGGUCCAGUCUUGUGACUACUACUUGUAUCUUCUAUAGCUGUGAGUUCAGUGCAAGAGCUAUGUCAACUCCAAAAGACAAGGUCUUAUUACACUACCCAUGUUUUCAUCCUCUGGCUCUUCCAUUCUUUCUACCUUCUCUCCUGAGAUAGUCCACAAGCCUUGGAGUGGGCGAUACAAACAUCCUCCUUAGGGAUGUGUGCCCAUCGGUCUCUCACUCUAAUCACUGUGACCUUUUAUGAGGCUGCCUUUACUACCACCCACCGCCACAAGGAGCCUCUCUGACCAAGGCUGAGAACAUCACUCAUCUAUGGGAGGAAACAUAAAUAUUUGUAUGGUGGUUUGACAGCAUGUCCAUUUUGCACAGCAUUAGCGAAAAACAGGAGUUCAAGUCGAUCAGAAUUUUAGGUACUUAAAAGAAAAAUACUGCAUUGUCAAAACGGCAAUAAAACUGUUCUCAACAAAUCAUGAAAUGGCUCACUUGGUCUUUCUGUUUGUUUGUCCUCUGGGGUCACAUGACUUUUCCGUAGUGGCUUUAUGACAAAUUAUGAAUCACAUAGGAGGCAAGAUGUUUGCUACUAGAUGCUUG